AAUACCGGAGAAUGUUAUCACGGGAGACACACGGCGGGUGCUAACGUCCGUCGUGAAGAGGGAAACAACCCAGACCGCCAGCUAAGGUCCCAAAGUCAUGGUUAAGUGGGAAACGAUGUGGGAAGGCCCAGACAGCCAGGAUGUUGGCUUAGAAGCAGCCAUCAUUUAAAGAAAGCGUAAUAGCUCACUGGUCGAGUCGGCCUGCGCGGAAGAUGUAACGGGGCUAAACCAUGCACCGAAGCUGCGGCAGCGACGCUUAUGCGUUGUUGGGUAGGGGAGCGUUCUGUAAGCCUGCGAAGGUGUGCUGUGAGGCAUGCUGGA
RNAcentral lists this ribosomal RNA (321 nucleotides) under Streptomyces morookaense. RNAcentral's name for it is "Streptomyces morookaensis Bacterial large subunit ribosomal RNA". It matches the Rfam family "Bacterial large subunit ribosomal RNA", at positions 959 to 1277 of the family's 2925-position model. The record is from Rfam by way of RNAcentral. Lineage: Bacteria; Bacillati; Actinomycetota; Actinomycetes; Kitasatosporales; Streptomycetaceae.